Molecule: long non-coding RNA, 1083 nt
Organism: Rhinopithecus roxellana (golden snub-nosed monkey)
Lineage: Eukaryota; Metazoa; Chordata; Mammalia; Primates; Cercopithecidae
Exons: 8
Source: RefSeq, a predicted model, not a curated record
UCUGUGAGCCUAAAUUUUUGUGGCUGUGGGACGGACAAGAACCCCAUCUUUAGCUGAAAUAAGGAAAAAUCCUGCAACAUUUUUGGCACACACCGUGGGGGCUCCAGAAGUGGCUUCCCCAAAUCAAACUUCAGUUUCAAAAUUGUCUUCCCUGGCACCUGGCUUUUUGAAUACUUCAGAGGUCCCCUGAAGUGUCCAGAAAAGAGAGGUUAUUGCUCCCUGAGUGUCUCUCUUAGGGUCAGGCUGCAAAUUUUCCUCAAAGCAGCGUAAAAGAAGAAGGGACACUCAUAAAUCCCCUGACCAAUGCCUCUUCGUUUAGAGAUGCUUGCUGUUGGAAAGCUUGUGAAGACCUGCAUCCCUUUGUAUCUCAAAUAAAGACAGAGGGUUGAAGACAGCAAGUGCAUCUCUGGGCAACCACUGCAGCUGGCCAUGAGGGACUGACGCAUACUGUUGAGGCUGAUCUUACUCUGUCUCCUCCCUAUGAACAAGGCCGUGAAACUGCCACUCCGUCAGGUCCUUGUCUUUCCAGUUCUCUUUCUUUGUGCCAUUGGGAUUAUAGAGAAUCAGCUCAUAAAAGUCAAAGUCCCCAGAGGCUGGACUCCAGCUGAACCAAAGGCUGUCUGUCAUGUUCCGAUUGGACCCCCUGAGAUGACUCACAGAGGCUGGGACUUAAACAGAAGAAAAAUUCUUAAUGAGAACAAAACAGAAACAAAGCCAUUUUGGCCCACAGAUUAGUCACGCUGCCGUCCAUCCCAAUAGCUUUGCUAUUCUUUGGAGAAUGAAGACUGUUGCCACAUUGGAGGACUUCUAAGCAUUAAUGAGCAGGUUGGACAACAUCAUUGUCACUAUCAAGAUGACUUUGUCCCUUCUUGCUCUCUCUCUUUUACCCUUCCAAAUCCUCAAUCGAAAUGCCUGGACUACCCAAAGCUCACGAGAAUUCAAAGCUAUCUAAUCUACCUGAGCCAAUGAUUGUUCUGGGGUGGUACUGGGAAUUCCCUUCUGUCUGGUGAGUAUGGUCUACCAAACUGGUUAGUUCUAUACUGGCACAUUCUCAAAGGGGCUGUUAUUAUAUAUGAACAUGUA